Molecule: long non-coding RNA, 205 nt
Filed under: Capsicum annuum
Lineage: Eukaryota; Viridiplantae; Streptophyta; Magnoliopsida; Solanales; Solanaceae
Description: long non-coding RNA (CANN_LNC015846)
Source: RNAcentral
CGGAGUUGCUUAAUCUUCAAGCAUUUAUCUCUCCCUAUAUAUGUGUGUGAUUCCGUAUGAUAAAUAUCCUGUGUUCUACUUGGGAAAAGGAAAAAAAAAAUUAGUCCAUUUUGAGGAAAUUUAGGAAAAUUUGGGGAACCGUUUUCCACAGGAGUUUCUUAAUCUUCAAGCAUUUAUCUCUGCCUAUAUAUAUGUAUCAUCUUUG